This 72-nucleotide transfer RNA is filed under the name Camelus bactrianus (Bactrian camel). It matches the Rfam family "tRNA". Rfam says of the family: Transfer RNA (tRNA) molecules are approximately 80 nucleotides in length. The record is from Rfam by way of RNAcentral. RNAcentral also lists the same sequence under 2 other names. Lineage: Eukaryota; Metazoa; Chordata; Mammalia; Artiodactyla; Camelidae.
GGUGGUAUAGCUCAGUGGUUGAGUGUGUGCUUUGCAUGCACGAAGUCCUGGGUUCAAUCCCCAGUACCUCCA